UGCCAUACCUGGACAACCAGAGGAUACAAGUUGGACCAGGAAGUUGGCAACUGUAUAAGAAAUCCACAAAUUGCAAUACCAAUUAGUAGACAAGUACAUUCUCAUGAGUUUAAUAACAAGAUAUGUAUCGCUCUUGUGAAGAAGGAUGUGCUGAUUAUGCACUGGCCAGGAGAAUGCAUAAUACGUACCUAAGACUCCGUUACAUGCAAUACACGAAUAAUGUGAAAUGAAUGGAUAAGAUUGAUUAAUUCCUAAAUCUACACAAGUAAAACCAGACUUUGUUUGUGGUGAUGAUACGCUGCUACUGGUAAUAAACUGGUAAUAAUGACCAACGGCAAAGGGUUUACUAGUACGUUACACUAUUCAAAAGUCGCUUUGUCCUACAUCUCUGUACGUACGUACUACCCUGUUCCAUUAAAAUUGUGCAUUAGGCUUACUUAAUAAAAUAAACAGUUAUCUUCUUAUCUAACAAAAUUAUUAUUAUAAUGUAAGCCAGUUUAUUACAGUCUGAUUCUAAAUGUCGUAAUGGGUAAUUUUCUGUCCUGCUUGAAAAGUGAAUUGUCGAGAGUGAUGGUGAUGAUAAUAGCACAAAAUGUUGACGCACAAGCAUAUGAAAUGUUACGUAUUAUCUUGUUAUGUUUGGUGAAUUAUUAUUAGUUUUUUUUACAUAAUAAUGUUAAAACCUCGUAUUUUAUAAACUGGGUUUGCUUGAUUCCA
Folsomia candida is the source of this 717-nucleotide long non-coding RNA. RefSeq lists it as uncharacterized. The record is from RefSeq and is a predicted model, not a curated record. The transcript has 2 exons. NCBI's taxonomy places the organism in Eukaryota, Metazoa, Arthropoda, Collembola, Entomobryomorpha, Isotomidae.